Molecule: ribosomal RNA, 578 nt
Filed under: Triticum aestivum (bread wheat)
Lineage: Eukaryota; Viridiplantae; Streptophyta; Magnoliopsida; Poales; Poaceae
Description: partial small subunit ribosomal RNA
Source: RNAcentral
CGCACACGAUCCCCUCUCCUCUUCUCCCCCAACUGCGCGCGUUGAUUCUGCAAUGGCUCCCACUUCGCCCCACUCCGCCACUCCUUCGUUUCUGGCUCCCCCAUCUCUUCCCCCUUAGGUGAAUCGAGGCGGAAUCGCGGGCAACUCUGCUUCUUCCACGGCGAAUCGAGGCAGGGGCCGCGGUUGCUUCUGUGGCAGUCGGCGACCCAAUUCCUGCCGGGUGUGCUCUUUAUUUGCUCUUAAUGAUGGGGAGUUCAGAAGUUACCUAUGAAGAUAUUUUCCGGAGUGGACAUCCCCGCCGCCAGCAUCGUUGGAGUACGCCAUGGACCAAUAGGGCGUGUCACCAACGUUCAAUACAAGACAAAAUCGAACGGACGCAUAUCCUUCUAUGAGUCCGGCUGGCAGGAGUUCUUGACGGGAAAGAGAGAAUUAAGGCUAGACACCCUUGUGAUAAGCACCAUAAGGAAGAGCAGCCGCAACGACUUUCAGAUGAUGGUUGCCGUCGACCAUGUUUAGAAAUAUGGUUUAAGUCAUGAAUAUAUCAACAGCUGAAGUGUUAGUUAAUUAGUAUGUUAAUA